Coregonus clupeaformis (lake whitefish) is the source of this 1389-nucleotide long non-coding RNA. RefSeq lists it as uncharacterized. The transcript has 3 exons. The record is from RefSeq and is a predicted model, not a curated record. Lineage: Eukaryota; Metazoa; Chordata; Actinopteri; Salmoniformes; Salmonidae.
GGUAAUCAACUACAAGCACAGAAAGGGGGAAAAUAGAACAUGUAAAAAUGUGUUAACUUCCCCUUUAACUGACGGUAUAACAACAGAAUUUUCCCUUGGGGAUCAAUAAAAUAUCAAAUGCAAACAUUUCACAGUUUUGCUAUAGGAUUGCUGUUAAACUCUAACUCACAUAGUGAUGAUUAUUUUGAAACCAUCUAUAGAAUGGAUUGGAGAACAACGAACAGAACAAUUGAGUGUAAUUCCCCCACUAACGGUAAUUUUUUUGUCUCAGCAUUCGUGAAAUUUGACGUACCAGUCGCCAGCCAAACGAAUACAAAGCUGUAUGAUGAGUCGGGAACUGAAGUUGUUGGAGAAGUGUUUGAGGAGGUGCUGACACCACCAAGUCCUGGUGUUUUUACAAUCACACUGGACAACGAUACUGAUACUGGUGUUGGUUUUUCACAGUACUAAAGUUAGAGGAGGGUUUAACUGUCAGCCUCUCCCUUGGGGAUAGUCACUUUGCAUAGAGCUGUGUUGCUUUAUCACAUUGAUUUGGAAUGUCUGUCUUUGUAAAAACCUUUGCAAUAAUCAACCACUUUGUGGGACAGUAUCUUCCCAGAUGACUUCCUCCUUUGCCAGUUCCUUGUUGGAGAUCUCGUCCACUGAGUCGGAUGAUACUGUCAUUCUGAGCGAUGAUGGGAGCCCUUCAAGAAAACGACAGAGAGCUGAGGAUGAAGCUAAACAUAAGAAAUUUGGUGGCGAUCUUGUCAUCAAAGAAAACUCUCGAACCAAAGGGCUGACUCAUGGCACCAGACGAAAGAUGAUUAAUAUUCUCACAGCAGAGAUGACCGAGACUCACGGGUAACCACUAAACCAGGCACGCAAGAAAGCUGUCUGUAUCUAGGCUGUAUUUCAGAUUAAUAUUGCAAUUUUAGUGACCGGAACCAACAGGGGGCUUCAUUGCAAAUUGAUUAAUAAAGUAAUAAAGUACUCUUCUUGUCAGGACAUCACCACCACGCCAUGUGAGGGAGACAUAUGCUCAAUGAAUUGUCGUCUUGUUCCCUUACCUCAAGGACCCCUACAAAACCAAAGGAUAUGAACAUUAUUUUACCCUCAAACUGGAAAUGGUUACUUGUCCUGGAAAAUCCAAACCAUCCAGAGGAAUUCAGCUUCAUCUGAGAAACGACCAUCUGGCCAGUCAUUCAGCGGUGGCCCAACAGCUGAGAGAGAGACUUCAUCCCGUCCAGAGAUUACCCUGAGUGAUGAACAGUGCAGGGAGGCCAUUUCCCUCAUGAAGCAUUCUUCUGAUGAGGCCACCAUCAAGCAGAAGAUGAAGAUUUGCAGUGGUGUCAAGUACUUAAGUAAAAAUACUUCAAAGUACUUUUUUGGGGGGGUAUCUGUACUUUACUU